UUCUGAGAUAACACCUGUUAAUUCAUUGACAGAAACAUCAAGGUAGUACAACUCAGAGAGCAGUCCCAAACUUUCUGGGAGUGUACCAUUUAGCUUAUUUAAGCUCAGUCCAAGAUAAGCUAAAUGCUUUAAAUUUCCAAUGGAAGCAGGGAUAGGACCUUGAAGCAAGUUAUGAUCCAAAUAAAGAUGAGUAAGAUUUUUGAGCUGGCCCAAAGAGUUUGGAAUCUCACCUUUGAUGCCAUUCCAUGAUAAAUCAAUAAAAAAGAGAGAUGUCAUAUUUCCAAAGGA
Molecule: unclassified non-coding RNA, 288 nt
Filed under: Hevea brasiliensis (rubber tree)
Lineage: Eukaryota; Viridiplantae; Streptophyta; Magnoliopsida; Malpighiales; Euphorbiaceae
Source: RNAcentral